Molecule: transfer RNA, 84 nt
Filed under: Candidatus Woesearchaeota archaeon
Lineage: Archaea; Nanobdellati; Candidatus Woesearchaeota
Description: tRNA-Leu
Rfam family: tRNA
About the family: Transfer RNA (tRNA) molecules are approximately 80 nucleotides in length. Their secondary structure includes four short double-helical elements and three loops (D, anti-codon, and T loops). Further hydrogen bonds mediate the characteristic L-shaped molecular structure. tRNAs have two regions of fundamental functional importance: the anti-codon, which is responsible for specific mRNA codon recognition, and the 3' end, to which the tRNAs corresponding amino acid is attached (by aminoacyl-tRNA synthetases). tRNAs cope with the degeneracy of the genetic code in two manners: having more than one tRNA (with a specific anti-codon) for a particular amino acid; and 'wobble' base-pairing, i.e. permitting non-standard base-pairing at the 3rd anti-codon position.
Source: RNAcentral
GCGGAGGUUCCAGAGCGGACAAAUGGGCUAGACUAAGGAUCUAGUGGCUUAGUGCCUACGCAGGUUCGAAUCCUGUCCUCCGCA